Molecule: ribosomal RNA, 440 nt
Filed under: uncultured bacterium
Lineage: Bacteria
Description: bacterial SSU rRNA
Rfam family: Bacterial small subunit ribosomal RNA
Source: RNAcentral
UACGGGAGGCAGCAGUGGGGAAUAUUGCACAAUGGGCGCAAGCCUGAUGCAGCCACGCCGCGUGUAUGAAGAAGGCCUUCGGGUUGUAAAGUACUUUCAGUCGUGAGGAAGGUGUUAAGGUUAAUAACCUUAGCAAUUGACGUUAGCGACAGAAGAAGCACCGGCUAACUCCGUGCCAGCAGCCGCGGUAAUACGGAGGGUGCGAGCGUUAAUCGGAAUUACUGGGCGUAAAGGGCACGCAGGCGGUUAAUUAAGUUGGAUGUGAAAUCCCCGGGCUUAACCUGGGAAUGGCAUUCAAGACUGGUUAGCUAGAGUCUUGUAGAGGGGGUUAGAAUUCCAUGUGUAGCGGUGAAAUGCGUAGAGAUGUGGAGGAAUACCGGUGGCGAAGGCGGCCCCUGGACAAAGACUGACGCUCAUGUGCGAAAGCGUGGGGAGCAAAC